GAUGAACGCUGGCGGCGUGCAUAACACAUGCAAGUCGAACGAAGUGGCGAACGGGUGAGUAACACGUGAGUCACCUGCCUUACACAAGGGGAUGGCCUUUGGAAACGAAGAAUAAUACCCUAUAGUGUAAGCUGGACUUGCGUCUGAUUAGCUAGUUGGUGAGAUAAAGGCCCACCAAGGCAACGAUCAGUAGCAGGCAUGAGAGAGGGUACGGGCACAUUGCGACCGCGACACGGCCCAAAAUCUACGGGAGGCAGCAGUGGGGAAUUUUGCACAAUGGGGGAAACUCUGAUGCAGCGACGCGGCGUGACGAAGAAGGCUUUCGAGUAGUAAAGUUCUUUUAUAUGGGAAGCGGUACCAUAAGAAAAAGCCCCGGCUAACUACGUGCCAGCAGCCGCGGUAAUUC
This 406-nucleotide ribosomal RNA is filed under the name uncultured bacterium. Its description in RNAcentral is "partial 16S ribosomal RNA". It matches the Rfam family "Bacterial small subunit ribosomal RNA", at positions 28 to 526 of the family's 1533-position model. The record is from RNAcentral.